This 766-nucleotide ribosomal RNA is filed under the name uncultured bacterium. RNAcentral describes it as "bacterial SSU rRNA". It matches the Rfam family "Bacterial small subunit ribosomal RNA", at positions 9 to 787 of the family's 1533-position model. The record is from RNAcentral.
GAGUUUGAUCCUGGCUCAGAAUCAACGCUGGCGGCGUGCCUCAUACAUGCAAGUCGAACGAUUAAACUUCUCUUCGGAGAACAUAUAAAGUGGCGUACGGGUGAGUAACACGUAAGUAAUCUACCUUCGAGUGGGGAAUAACCCGGGGAAACCCGAGCUAAUACCGCAUAAUGCAGCGGCAUCUUCGGAUGACAGUUGUUAAAGAAUUUAUUCGCUUGAAGAGGAGCUUGCGGCAGAUUAGCUAGUUGGUAAGGUAAUGGCUUACCAAGGCGACGAUCUGUAUCCGGUCUAAGAGGACGGUCGGACACACUGACACUGAAUAACGGGUCAGACUCCUACGGGAGGCAGCAGUCGGGAAUUUUGGGCAAUGGGCGCAAGCCUGACCCAGCAACGCCGCGUGAAGGAUGAAGUCUUUCGGGAUGUAAACUUCGUAAGAAUAGGAAGAAUAAAUGACGGUACUAUUUGUAAGGUCCGGCUAACUACGUGCCAGCAGCCGCGGUAAUACGUAGGGACCAAGCGUUGUUCGGAUUUACUGGGCGUAAAGGGCGCGUAGGCGGCGUGUUAAGUCAGCUGUGAAAUCUCCAAGCCUAACUUGGAACGGUCAGCUGAUACUGAUGUGCUAGAGUGCAGAAGGGGCAAUCGGAAUUCUUGGUGUAGCGGUGAAAUGCGUAGAUAUCAAGAGGAACACCUGAGGUGAAGACGGGUUGCUGGGCUGACACUGACGCUGAUGGGCGAAAGCUAGGGUAGCAAACGGGAUUAGAUACCC